GUUUGAUCCUGGCUCAGAUUGAACGCUGGCGGCAGGCUUAACACAUGCAAGUCGAGCGGGGAAAGGUAGCUUGCUACCUGACCUAGCGGCGGACGGGUGAGUAAUGCUUAGGAAUCUGCCUAUUAGUGGGGGACAACAUUCCGAAAGGAAUGCUAAUACCGCAUACGCCCUACSGGGGAAAGCAGGGGAUCUUCGGACCUUGCGCUAAUAGACGAGCCUAAGUCAGAUUAGCUAGUUGGUGGGGUAAAGGCCUACCAAGGCGACGAUCUGUAGCGGGUCUGAGAGGAUGAUCCGCCACACUGGGACUGAGACACGGCCCAGACUCCUACGGGAGGCAGCAGUGGGGAAUAUUGGACAAUGGGCGAAAGCCUGAUCCAGCCAUGCCGCGUGUGUGAAGAAGGCCUUUUGGUUGUAAAGCACUUUAAGCGAGGAGGAGGCUACUGAGAUUAAUACUCUUGGAUAGUGGACGUUACUCGCAGAAUAAGCACCGGCUAACUCUGUGCCAGCAGCCGCGGUAAUACAGAGGGUGCGAGCGUUAAUCGGAUUUACUGGGCGUAAAGCGUGCGUAGGCGGCUUUUUAAGUCGGAUGUGAAAUCCCUGAGCUUAACUUAGGAAUUGCAUUCGAUACUGGGAAGCUAGAGUGUGGGAGAGGAUGGUAGAAUUCCAGGUGUAGCGGUGAAAUGCGUAGAGAUCUGGAGGAAUACCGAUGGCGAAGGCAGCCAUCUGGCCUAAUACUGACGCUGAGGUACGAAAGCAUGGGGAGCAAACAGGAUUAGAUACCCUGGUAGUCCAUGCCGUAAACGAUGUCUACUAGCCGUUGGGGCCUUUGAGGCUUUAGUGGCGCAGCUAACGCGAUAAGUAGACCG
This 866-nucleotide ribosomal RNA is filed under the name uncultured bacterium. RNAcentral's name for it is "bacterial SSU rRNA". It matches the Rfam family "Bacterial small subunit ribosomal RNA", at positions 11 to 871 of the family's 1533-position model. The record is from RNAcentral.